GACGAAGGGGGCUAGCGUUGUUCGGAAUUACUGGGCGUAAAGCGCGUGUAGGCGGUUGCCCAAGUCGGGUGUGAAAGCCUUGAGCUCAACUCAAGAAAUGCACUCGGUACUGGGUGACUAGAGGACCGGAGAGGAUAGUGGAAUUCCCAGUGUAGUGGUGAAAUACGUAGAGAUUGGGAAGAACACCAGUGGCGAAGGCGGCUAUCUGGACGGUUUCUGACGCUAAGGAGCGAAAGCGUGGGGAGCAAACAGG
RNAcentral lists this ribosomal RNA (253 nucleotides) under uncultured bacterium. RNAcentral's name for it is "partial 16S ribosomal RNA". It matches the Rfam family "Bacterial small subunit ribosomal RNA", at positions 524 to 776 of the family's 1533-position model. The record is from RNAcentral.